This 442-nucleotide ribosomal RNA is filed under the name uncultured bacterium. Its description in RNAcentral is "partial 16S ribosomal RNA". It matches the Rfam family "Bacterial small subunit ribosomal RNA", at positions 339 to 795 of the family's 1533-position model. The record is from RNAcentral.
CUACGGGAGGCUCCAGUGGGGAAUAUUGGGCAAUGGGCGCAAGCCUGACCCAGCGACGCCGCGUGAGGGAAGAAUGUCUUCGGAUUGUAAACCUCUGUCCUUGGGGACGAAAAAAAUGACGGUACCCAAGGAGGAAGCUCCGGCUAACUACGUGCCAGCAGCCGCGGUAAUACGUAGGGAGCAAGCGUUGUCCGGAAUUAUUGGGCGUAAAGGGUGCGUAGGCGGCGCUGUAAGUCAGAUGUGAAAUCCCCGGGCUUAACUCGGGAGUUGCAUUUGAAACUACAGUGCUUGAGUAAAGAAGGGGUAAGUGGAAUUCCUAGUGUAGCGGUGGAAUGCGUAGAUAUUAGGAGGAACACCAGUGGCGAAGGCGACUUACUGGUCUUUCACUGACGCUGAGGCACGAAAGCGUGGGGAGCAAACAGGAUUAGAUACCCCCGUAGUC